This 1497-nucleotide ribosomal RNA is filed under the name metagenome. Its description in RNAcentral is "bacterial SSU rRNA". It matches the Rfam family "Bacterial small subunit ribosomal RNA". The record is from RNAcentral.
GAGUUUGAUCAUGGCUCAGAUUGAACGCUGGCGGCAGGCCUAACACAUGCAAGUCGAACGGUAACAGGAAGCAGCUUGCUGCUUCGCUGACGAGUGGCGGACGGGUGAGUAAUGUCUGGGAAGCUGCCUGAUGGAGGGGGAUAACUACUGGAAACGGUAGCUAAUACCGCAUAAUGUCGCAAGACCAAAGAGGGGGACCUUCGGGCCUCUUGCCAUCGGAUGUGCCCAGAUGGGAUUAGCUUGUUGGUGGGGUAACGGCUCACCAAGGCGACGAUCCCUAGCUGGUCUGAGAGGAUGACCAGCCACACUGGAACUGAGACACGGUCCAGACUCCUACGGGAGGCAGCAGUGGGGAAUAUUGCACAAUGGGCGCAAGCCUGAUGCAGCCAUGCCGCGUGUAUGAAGAAGGCCUUCGGGUUGUAAAGUACUUUCAGCGGGGAGGAAGGGAGUAAAGUUAAUACCUUUGCUCAUUGACGUUACCCGCAGAAGAAGCACCGGCUAACUCCGUGCCAGCAGCCCGUAAUACGGAGGGUGCAAGCGUUAAUCGGAAUUACUGGGCGUAAAGCGCACGCAGGCGGUUUGUUAAGUCAGAUGUGAAAUCCCCGGGCUCAACCUGGGAACUGCAUCUGAUACUGGCAAGCUUGAGUCUCGUAGAGGGGGGUAGAAUUCCAGGUGUAGCGGUGAAAUGCGUAGAGAUCUGGAGGAAUACCGGUGGCGAAGGCGGCCCCCUGGACGAAGACUGACGCUCAGGUGCGAAAGCGUGGGGAGCAAACAGGAUUAGAUACCCUGGUAGUCCACGCCGUAAACGAUGUCGACUUGGAGGUUGUGCCCUUGAGGCGUGGCUUCCGGAGCUAACGCGUUAAGUCGACCGCCUGGGGAGUACGGCCGCAAGGUUAAAACUCAAAUGAAUUGACGGGGGCCCGCACAAGCGGUGGAGCAUGUGGUUUAAUUCGAUGCAACGCGAAGAACCUUACCUGGUCUUGACAUCCACGGAAGUUUUCAGAGAUGAGAAUGUGCCUUCGGGAACCGUGAGACAGGUGCUGCAUGGCUGUCGUCAGCUCGUGUUGUGAAAUGUUGGGUUAAGUCCCGCAACGAGCGCAACCCUUAUCCUUUGUUGCCAGCGGUCCGGCCGGGAACUCAAAGGAGACUGCCAGUGAUAAACUGGAGGAAGGUGGGGAUGACGUCAAGUCAUCAUGGCCCUUACGACCAGGGCUACACACGUGCUACAAUGGCGCAUACAAAGAGAAGCGACCUCGCGAGAGCAAGCGGACCUCAUAAAGUGCGUCGUAGUCCGGAUUGGAGUCUGCAACUCGACUCCAUGAAGUCGGAAUCGCUAGUAAUCGUGGAUCAGAAUGCCACGGUGAAUACGUUCCCGGGCCUUGUACACACCGCCCGUCACACCAUGGGAGUGGGUUGCAAAAGAAGUAGGUAGCUUAACCUUCGGGAGGGCGCUUACCACUUUGUGAUUCAUGACUGGGGUGAAGUCGGAACAAGGUA